Molecule: RNA transcript, 2916 nt
Organism: Nicotiana attenuata
Lineage: Eukaryota; Viridiplantae; Streptophyta; Magnoliopsida; Solanales; Solanaceae
Gene name: actin-related protein 9
Exons: 22
Source: RefSeq, a predicted model, not a curated record
GUAUAUAAGGCAACCCGCUUAACAUCACGUUUUCUUCUUCAGUUCAGUAGCUCCUGUUCCCUCGGCACCAACUCAAGCUCUUUUCGCCAUGGAUUACAUGAAAACAGUAGUCCCUACGAACCUCUUCACCGAGCGUGGCUCCAAUAUCGUCGUCAUUAAUCCAGGUUCCGCAAAUAUCAGAAUUGGAUUGGCUAAUCAGGAUACUCCAUUCAAUAUACCUCAUUGCAUUUCCCGUCGCACUACUCAAUUACCUAAACGACAUGUUCAAGAUCAAAUGCUGAAUUCUCAGGUUACAACUGCACAGCAUAUGGAGCGGGAAAGAGCGUAUGACAUGAUUGCUUCGCUGUUGAGAAUUCCAUUCUUGGAUGAGGAGGUAGCUAACAGUUCUUAUCCACGCAAGAUGGGACAUGUGGAUGCAUAUCCUCCGCAGAAUAACACGAAAGAGCCAGAGUUCACUUGGACUGAUGUUUUAGAAAAAAAUGUCCCUCAUUCUUCAACAAAGGCAGUAGAAGCCGAACCAAACGAGGGUGGUACCAGCGAGGACCCCACUCUGAAGGAAAGCAAGAUUAAGGUUGAAUAUAAUUCCAGUGAACGUAAAUAUAGAGAGUACAUAUGUGGAGAGGAAGCUCUACGAAUAUCCCCAACUGAACCAUAUUGCUUGUGCCGUCCUAUACGCCGAGGUCAUCUUAAUAUAUCUCAACAUUACCCUACGCAGCAGGUUCUUGAAGACCUGCAUACCAUCUGGGAUUGGAUUUUGGUUGAGAAAUUGCAUAUUCCUCAUAGCAUGAGAAACAUGUAUUCUGCAAUCCUUGUUCUUCCAGAGACAUUCGACAGUCGUGAAAUUAAAGAAAUGCUUUCUAUCGUGUUGCGAGACUUGCGCUUCAGCUCAGCAGUAGUCCACCAGGAAGGUCUUGCUGCAGUUUUUGGAAAUGGUUUAUCAACGGCAUGCAUUGUCAAUAUUGGUGCUCAAGUGACAUCUGUUAUCUGUGUUGAGGAUGGAGUGACUAUACCCACGACACAGAUAUCUUUACGUUUCGGCGGAGAGGAUAUAUCAAGAUGCCUUCUCUGGACGCAGAGGCAUCAUCAAACAUGGCCACCAAUUCGGACUGAUGCCCUGUCAAAGCCUGUAGAUUUGCUAAUGCUUAACAGGCUUAAGGAGUCCUACUGUCAGAUCAAAGAGGGGGAAGUAGAAGCUGUUGCUAUGGUACAAUCAUAUGAAGAUGGAGUGCCACCUGGAUCUCAUAAGACAAGGCUGACUGCUCUUAAUGUUCCUCCAAUGGGUUUAUUUUACCCAACGCUUUUGGCUCCAGACGUCUAUCCUCCGCCACCACGUUCUUGGUUUAAUGAUUAUGAUGAUAUGCUUGAGGACACAUGGCACAUGGACUUCCCUGGUGGUAGUGCAUUUCCGAUGUGGGAGAACUACCCAAUUUUUCAAACAAAGCCAAAGAAAGAAGAUAAUAUUGGUCUAGCUGAAGCUAUUACAAAGAGCAUUCUUUUGACAGGGCGUAUUGACCUGCAGAGAAAAUUGUUUUGCAGCAUGCAACUGAUUGGUGGAGCUGCACUGAGUGACGGUCUCAUUCCUGCUGUGGAGGAAAGAGUAUUACAUGCAAUCCCUUCACAUGAAGCAAUUGAUACUGUGGAGGUCUUGCAAUCAAGAACGAAUCCAGCUUUUGUGUCAUGGAAAGGCGGAGCAAUCCUCGGCAUUCUUGAUAUUAGUAGGGAUGCGUGGAUUCAUCGAGAGGACUGGAUUAAAAAUGGGAUCCACAUUCGCAGUGGGAGAAAGUACAAGGAUUCAUAUUAUCUUCAAGCACAGGCAAUGUGUUAUAUAAAUUCAUAAUAGGUAUUAUGUGUUGGCUUUUCUUUUUCUUUUUCUUCUCUUUCUCUCUCUCAGAUUGAAUGGGACGGGCAAAGAGAAUGGGAAGGGGGCAGAAAUUAAUCUAGAAAUGAUGAGGCUAUGGGAGGCUUCCUGCAGGGUUAUGAGAUUGAGAAGACGGAAACUGGGGCUUGAGGGCCACAUUUUCUUCGGUCUUUGUGGCUUCUCUUGAAGACAGAGGAACUGAGCGCCUGACUCCUCCCUCCCGACUCAUUUGAUUAAUGCUUGUUAUCAUCUCAUUCUGGAGUACAUAGUAGCACUUGUGAAAGAGGAUAUCGACAGUCCUGAAAAUCAGUCAAGAAAAGUUAUUGCUGAUCGAGUCCAAUCUGGAGUACAUACUGGGUAACUAAGUCACUUAUAACGGGUAAUUUAAAUCUUGCUAACCAUUGUUUUCUAGUAGCUGACAUAUUGAGCGCCUAUUGCCGACCUCAAUGUCAUUCAACUGAAUAUCAAUUUGAUAAACGAUUCAAAAUCCUAUUAGUUGCACGUUGUUGUUCAUGCUAGUUGCUAUGUACCAUUGUUGUUCCGCAGCCGACAUAUUCACUCACUCCAUCCAGAUUUGUUUACCGAUUUCCUCUUUUUUUAAUCAACCAUUUGACUAUUUUAACAUAUUUUUAAUUACUAGUCUUUUAAUAGACAAGUCCAGCAGAUAUAUUAAAUGUCGUACUCUAUCAAAUGAUUUCACAGAAAAUGCAACGCAAAGAGCAAACGAAAGCUAUAUUUUGGAAAUUGAGAUUAUCAUGCCAGUACUUGGUCUGUUCAAUUACUUAGGGAGAAAGAAAACAAAACAAAACUGCUUGACUUGAAAAGAAGAGAAGGAAAGAAAAAAGUCUCAAGUUAUCCCACAUCGGUAAGUGAGCAAAUAUGAAAGCCAGGAGCUGAGUAUUAAAAGGAAAGAGUGAAGAAUGUUGAAAACUUAAAAAGGGUCGGUUGGCUAAAUAUGCCACACUCGCCCGAGUGGUGAGUGCCGUAUGGAUAUCAAGACAUAUGGCCGACAUAAUUUGUGGAACUAUUAUAGGGUUGGCUCGUCGGCCGACCCUCCA